RNAcentral lists this long non-coding RNA (729 nucleotides) under Homo sapiens (human). RNAcentral's name for it is "non-protein coding lnc-SLC1A1-11:1". The record is from RNAcentral. Lineage: Eukaryota; Metazoa; Chordata; Mammalia; Primates; Hominidae.
AAGCUGGUUUUGUUAUGACUCCAGAGAACCCCCUUUCCUCCUUUAUUCACACUCUGACCACAAUCUUCCAUUUGGCCAUCAGGCGCUUCAGGUUACCUCCUAGCUUACUUUACUCUCAAGAUAGAUGCUAGAAGGUACUCACGUGCUGUCAUGAGUUUAUGCCCAUAUACAACAUUUUUUCAAAUAAUUUUUAUGUAAAGGCUUUUAUCUGUAUCUGGAAUGGAGGGUUCAGCCUUCAGUUAUAUCCAUUUCAAACAUCCUUGUUGCUGCUAGAAAAUAUAUUUUGAGGAAGCAUGUGACAUCCCUGUUAGAAUUUUUGACAUUGUGAGUUUGGGGGCAUUGCCACCCCAGUGAUGGCUUUGUAAUUCCAAUUUGCUUUUCUUUAGAGAGCUACAGUAGAUUUCCUUAAUUAAAAAAUGCCAUGUGAACUACUGGCAAAGUAGUGGAAUACAAAAUGUAAAGAAACAUAUUUCAGUUUUCUUUUAUUCUACUGAGUGAUGUUGAUUGUAUUCCCAAACUUUUAGGCUUCCACUUUUCCUUCCUUCCUCAAAAAAAAAAAAAAAGAAGAAGAAGAAAGUAGGAGGAAGAGGAGGAGGAGGAAAAGGUAGGUAAUUGGUAAUCUGUGGCAUCUGUUCUCUAAUUUUCAGAACUAUAGCAUGUAUUUUUAUAGUAUUUAGAUAAAAGCAACAAUAGUUACAACUAUUAGGUGCUGAACACUUACUAUGUUUA